This 1124-nucleotide long non-coding RNA is filed under the name Monomorium pharaonis (pharaoh ant). RNAcentral describes it as "uncharacterized LOC114254552, transcript variant X1". The record is from RNAcentral. Lineage: Eukaryota; Metazoa; Arthropoda; Insecta; Hymenoptera; Formicidae.
AUUUUUUGUAAUUUUAUAUAAUUACUAUUAUAAUUUAAUUUACAAACAAAAUAUAAAAUAUAUUUAAUGAUCGAUACUGUAUAAAAAGCUUCUACUUUUAUAUUUUCAUUUAACUUUUAAAUUUAUUUUGAAAUUUUCAGACCUAGUACAGCUAGUUCAAUGAACUCAUGCACUAAGUUUUCCUGCACUAUAAUGAACGGUAUCGGUUACACCAGUUCUGGAAUAACAAACGCUUUAGGGUGCGUUCGGAGAAACGCUAUUAGCGUUACCAGCAUCAGUCCAUCUUCAUUACUCAUUAAAAGUAGAACAAGGAUAAACUGAUGCUGAUAGCGCUAAUAGCGUCUCCCCGAACGCACCCUUAGUGCACACUUUUUGAACUAGUGCAGCCAGUGCAGGAAUAAAAAACAAACCAUACGUGUUGUCAUAUAAAAAUUUAUUGCAUUUAGUAAUAAAUUACAAUUGAAAGAAUAAUUGACGCCCGCCGAUAGCCAAGUCUUUUCGGGGUGCCAGCCAAGAGCAGUGACUUGUGCUACUGCAUGACCCGGUGACUCAACAUCCUGCACAGGUUCACCUUGAUCAUCGUAAAUAGUCACAAAACCACCUUUGUCUUGAGAGUACGCAGCAACAGCUAACAAUGGAUAAUUAUUGUGCCACGUUGCAAGAGUGCUUAUAGAAGCACUCUCAGGAUUUUGCACUCGUAUAUCAAAAUACAAGAUACUUGUCAUCAGUUGUCAUGGAAACAGAUGUCUGCCACCAUGAUGGAAAAAUAUAUAGGUGUGUUCGUACGCAUAUAUUGCUAACAACCAAUGAGAAAUUGGGUGCAUCUAGUAGCACAACCACUCACUGAGCGGCUAAGUAGCAAUUGAAAAUGAUUUGUUAGAUCCAAAAGUAAGACCCAAUCAUCUUCAAUUGCUACUUAGCCGCUCAGUGAGCGGUUGUGCUACUGGAUGCACCUAUUAAUGGCAGGUACCGCCAUCUUGUCGCGGCAAUUUGAAUUUGGCAUACAUAUUAUUAUUGUUUUAACUUAUUUUUGUGUUUUUACUGAAUCUAUGUAUGCUUAAAACAUAAUAAUUUAUUUUGUACAAUAAAAGUUAUAUAAUAAAAAAUUUAAGUACAAUAAAAAA